Long non-coding RNA from Fopius arisanus, 789 nucleotides. RefSeq lists it as uncharacterized. Lineage: Eukaryota; Metazoa; Arthropoda; Insecta; Hymenoptera; Braconidae. The record is from RefSeq and is a predicted model, not a curated record. The transcript has 3 exons.
UGGGACUGUAUAAGUGCCUUCAAACGUAUGUGGAUUAACGGAAGACUUGAUAAUGAAUUGAGUGUGUUUGGAUGGAGAUAAACGGAGAAUAAAUGGAGCUUAUGUUUUUCCGUUGCGGGGUCGCGAACGACUGUUCGGUGGAGUCGAGCUCCCUAAAGAAACAGAAGCCAAGUGUCCAUUAAGAGGGGAGAAAGGCGUCAAUUGCUAUAAUGCCUUUAAACAAUAUCAUAAUCAUGUCGAUUUUCCCACUUGCAACCAGAGAAAAAUAUUUAUUAAUCAGUCGAAUGAAGUCUAUGAAAGCGCCUUAUCUGAACUGAUUGGCGAUUUAUACGUUCUAUCAAAUGAUUAAAUUGAAUACAUCUGAAAUAAUUUGAAGACAGGACCCAGUUCAAGUUUUUAAGCGCUGGUGGUGAAAUUAUUGCGAUGGACUUUCAAAAUAGAAACAGUUGUGCACAAAAACGGUCGGCCAACAGGUGCGUUCGACUACAACACGCCAUAUGUGAAGACCAGUUGUUGCAAGGUUGCACCAAAAUCGUAGGGCACUAAUCACACUCAAUCACAAUGUUUAAAUUUUGCAACGAGAUUCGAAACGCUGGGAAUGCACCGCAUUUCACCAAGGGCAACGUCUUUUCUAUUUAUUUUUAUUAGAAUUUCCAUUAUUCGCUAACUUUCAACAAUAUUCUCGAAUACAACACGAUAUGCUAAUUGAAUUGAAAAAUAAAUUGACUUAAGCCUGGCAUUUCUGCAGCUCUACUAAUUCUCGAUGGUACGCAAUGAGUUUUAAACAGA